UGAGCAACCUGCCCUUGACUCCGGAAUAACAGCUGGAAACAGCUGCUAAUACCGGAUACGACCUCCGAUGGCAUCAUCUGGAGGUGGAAAGCUCCGGCGGUCAAGGAUGGGCUCGCGGCCUAUCAGCUUGUUGGUGAGGUAACGGCUCACCAAGGCUUCGACGGGUAGCCGGCCUGAGAGGGCGACCGGCCACACUGGGACUGAGAUACCGGCCCAGACUCCCGUAGGGACGG
This 233-nucleotide ribosomal RNA is filed under the name uncultured bacterium. RNAcentral's name for it is "partial 16S ribosomal RNA". It matches the Rfam family "Bacterial small subunit ribosomal RNA", at positions 118 to 347 of the family's 1533-position model. The record is from RNAcentral.